This is a non-coding RNA of Nylanderia fulva, 414 nucleotides long. NCBI's taxonomy places the organism in Eukaryota, Metazoa, Arthropoda, Insecta, Hymenoptera, Formicidae. The record is from RefSeq and is a predicted model, not a curated record.
UUUUCAUCUAUGAUUUAACGCAUUGCUUAGUAUAUGUUCUGUGACGCAUUGCUGCGUGCGUGUUAUAUGACGUUUAUUAUGAUGUAUUCAUGCAAUUAUAAUUAUGUUCAAUAUCUGUCACGAGUGGUAAAUUACGUUGCUAAAUCAUAUUAGUGAAAUGUCAAAAUUCAUUCGAUCUCAAAUGUAUUAUUUUUUGACAGCGAUUCAAGGACGAUGAAUACCUAAAAAAGUACAAACAAAGUUAUAUUAACAUAAUUUAUAAUUGUCUUGGAACGGUUACAAGAUGGCAACAUUGAAGCAUGAUAUUGAAUUACCAAGCAAUAUUCCAGAAUUAUUAAUGGAGAAACAUGCAAACUAUCUCAUUUCGUAUGGGACCAACAAAGAUGAAUAUGUAAGAAUCUAUUUUAAAUUUUA